Ictidomys tridecemlineatus (thirteen-lined ground squirrel) is the source of this 72-nucleotide non-coding RNA. The record is from Rfam. NCBI's taxonomy places the organism in Eukaryota, Metazoa, Chordata, Mammalia, Rodentia, Sciuridae.
GGGGAUGUAGAUCAGUGGUAGAGCAUGUACUUAGCAUGUGCAAGGCUCUAGGUUCCAUCCCUAGCACCAGCA